RNAcentral lists this long non-coding RNA (199 nucleotides) under Elaeis guineensis (African oil palm). RNAcentral's name for it is "long non-coding RNA (EGUI_LNC027556)". Lineage: Eukaryota; Viridiplantae; Streptophyta; Magnoliopsida; Arecales; Arecaceae. The record is from RNAcentral.
UGUGCAUAAAAUUCUUAGGUCUUUACCGAAAAAUUGAGAGCCAAAGGGGACUACCAUUCAAGAAGCAAAAGACUUAAACAAGUUAGCAUUAGAAGAGCUCAUUGGUUCUCUUAUGACCCAUGAGCUAAACAUGAAUUAAGAGAGAGAAGAAGAGGUGAAGAAAAAGAAAAGCAUAGCCCUUAAAGCUACUGUCAUCCAU